This is a long non-coding RNA of Malurus melanocephalus (red-backed fairy wren), 509 nucleotides long. RefSeq lists it as uncharacterized. The record is from RefSeq and is a predicted model, not a curated record. The transcript has 3 exons. Lineage: Eukaryota; Metazoa; Chordata; Aves; Passeriformes; Maluridae.
UGUUGCUGCAUUAGCCGAGUUGUAUUUUGCUAGAUAGGGGAAGGAGGGUUGUCUGCUGUCUGGUAGGAGGGCUUUGUCUGUGUGCGCCUUUCUCUCUCUCCCUCUGUCGCUCUCCCUGUCUCUCGCACUCUCGCUCGCUCUCGCUCGCUCUCUCUCGCUCGCUCUCCCUUUCCCGUCUCUGUGGUUUGUAAGGUAGGUUGCAGUGUGUGUAUAUACACAACAUCAAGAGCAGGAAAAUGGACUCAUUAGGGAGGCAGGCAGUCAUUACCACUCACACUGUACUUCCAGGGAGACAGCGACUAUGAGGAGACAAACUGAGGACUGGGGAACAAGCAGCAUAAGGAAGAAGUGUUGAGAGCUGCUCUUAACCCUUUUGGAGGCCGAAGUCAAAAGGGAACUAGAGGGCUUGACGCAUCCUUUACAUCCUGCAUUUACUCUGACCACAGUCCCUCCCUGUUCUCACAAGYGGAGCUCAGCCCUGCUUCCCUUCCUGUUGAUUCCCAGUCAGC